UUUGUUCUCAGGGAAAAGUUGAAGUGACAAUAGCGGGAGGACGAAUCGUAUGGGAAAACGAUGAGCUUAAAGUUGUUCCAGGAAGUGGAAAGUAUGUAGAGAUGCCUCCUUUCAGCUACCUUUUCGAUGGGAUUGAGAAAUCUGAUGCUAACUAUCUCUCUUCUCUCCGAGCUCCGGUGAAACGUGUCAGGUCUGAAGCUACUACUUAAGUUGCAAGUAUCACCAUCUGCAAAUUCCUCAUUUGAUUCUAUAUAAGAAUAGUUGUACAUAACAUUACUUUUUUCAACAAGAUCUGAAGAGCGAUUAUGUAUAAAAUCUGUUCUCUACUCCAGUUUUUUGUUUCUUAGUUUGUUUGAGCCUUGGUCUCUGUUCUCUAUCUCAAGAACAGAUACCAAGAUCAAAAGAAAGAUUAUGAAUAAAAGCUGUUCUAUACUCUAGAAUUGAUAAUAUUGUGUUGUAGCAUGUACUCUUCACUCUCCAACACAACGCUCAAAAGCAUCCAAAUCACAAACUUCAUUUCUAAUGGGCCUUUUAAUUGGGCUUAUAACUAUUAGACUAAUUAGUUUCAACACCGUCAAUAACUGGAUCUAAAAGACGGGUUUACCCUUUACUUUAUCCGUCUAUAUAUACAGAACAUCAUCGAAACCGCAAGUACUAGAAAUUUAUUUUCCGACAGAAGAAGAUUUAUCUGUGCGACGGUAAUAACAAAUCUCCGGCGACAAGGAGAAGCAGGAGAUAGAGAGCUAUGACGACAGUCAGUCUCCGCAAGCAAAACACGAGGCUCCCACCAGAAGUAAACCGCGUGCUCUACGUCCGCAACCUCCCCUUCAACAUAACGAGCGAGGAGAUGUACGACAUCUUCGGCAAGUACGGCGCGAUCCGCCAGAUUCGGAUCGGAUGCAACAAGGACACGAAAGGCACGGCCUUCGUCGUCUACGAGGACAUCUACGACGCGAAACAAGCCGUGGACCAUCUCUCCGGGUUCAACGUCGCGAACCGGUACCUGAUCGUGCUCUACUACCAGCACGCGAAGAUGAGCAAGAAGUUCGACCAGAAGAAGAGCGAGGAAGAGGUCGCCAAGCUGCAGGAGAAGUACGGUGUCUCCACCAAAGAUAAGUAAACACGUGUGUACUCGAUUCGAUUCUGCGAUUUAGGGUUUCAAUUGGGGAAAAAAAAAUCGAACCUUUUUUGCUUAAUCUUGGUAUGUAUGUUUGAACCAUUCAAUGAAAAAUUCCUCUUUUCAGCUCCAUGUAGCUAUUAAUGUUACAAAGUGUUGUGCUUUGAUGCAGUUGAUGAUCUGGACUGGUUAGUGUUUUGCUAAGAGGUUUAGUGUUCUGCGAUUUAGGGUUUCAAUUGGGGAAAAAAAUCGAACCUUUUUGCUUAAUCUUGGUAUGUAUGUUGAACCAAUCAAUGAAAAAUACCUUUUUUAGUUCCAAUUAGCUAUUGAUGUUACAAAGUAUUGUGCUUUGAUGCAGUUGAUGAUCUUGUAUUCAGCUUUGUAUCUUUGUUCAGGAGUGGUUAGUGUUUUUGCUAAGAGGUUAAGAACAUGUAUCACUAACACAUACAAUAGAAUUGAAAAAGAAUCUCUUAAGUACAUUAAGAAACCAGAAAAUAUAAAUGUACAAUAAAUCAAACACCUUCCCCCCAAAUCCUCAAUUAAUGAUUUUUUUUUCUCCCUGCUUGAGCCUUCUCAUCUCUUAAACGAUGUCCUCCUGUUUCAAUCAUUAGUAAUCCGAGCAUGCUUUUAAUUUUUGAUUGCCUCAUUGUUAAAAGGAAGAUGAUUUUUCUCUCGACUCAUGUUCUGCUCUCUUUUUGAUAUCUUCUCUCUUCCUCUCUACUUUCAACGUUUGGUGGUGUCAUUUAAACGAAAGGUCACGCCGCUUCUUUGGGAUAGGAUCAGGGUUUCCUUUUCUCAUCAUUGCCACGAACUCGUCGUAGUUUAUCCGACCAUCCUGCAUCAGAGAUUUUGGUUAUGUUAAUAAUGAGGUUGUUAGAUGCUUUGUUUCGGUUUGAAGGGGGAGUGUUGUUUUCUUACAUUGUCUCCAUCGACCUCUGAAAUUAUCUCUUUAAUGUCUCUGCCAUCGUUCAUCCCAAACUCCCGGAGGGCUUGUUCCAGCUCUUCCAUAGUAAUAUAUCUGGGAUCAACAAGCAUCAUUUGAGGUGUUCAUUUGGAUUCAUAGCAAGCUUUGUACUUCUGUCUUUGGUGUUUGAAGUAUGUUAAGAAUCAUUUAUAUACAGUGCUUACCCGCUGUUGUCUUUGUCAAAGUGUUGGAAGGCUGAGUAGAGAUGUUCUUCUCUGUCAAGUCUGUUGAUAUGCAUUGUGGCUGCGAUAAACUCACCAUAGUCUAUUGUUCCAUUACCAUCAGCAUCAGCCUGUUCCAUCAAGAGUAAAAACAGAAAACUAGUGGUGAGUCUGCUUCCUUGUUGCCAGCAUAUGACAGAGGGUAAAAUUGUUGUUAGUAAGCAAAGGGCUUACAGCUUCCAUUAGUUGCUGGACUUCGUACUCUGACAACCUUGUACCUUGCUUAGCGAGUCCCUGUCUUAGCUCCUCGAGUGUAAUCGUUCCACUGUUGUCAGUGUCCAUACCUUUAAACAUCUCCUUCAACCCCAUGAUCUCUUCCUCUGAUAAGCAGCCUGCUAUCACCCUCAAUGCAACUUUCUUGAAAUUGUUCAUUGCUUUGAAUUGCUUGAGCCUGGACAUCACCGCAUUGUCAAGAGGAACAUCUGGUGCUUCUCCAUCUUCCUUGAUCCAUGGAUGAUCUUAACAAAAGAGAGAGAAAACAUUAAUUAUCAUGGAAAGGGAUUGUUAUACUUUAUUGGUGUGUUUUGUAGAUGCUUACUGAGAACUUGAGCAGCAGUUAGUCUUUGCUUGGGAUCAGAGUUGAGCAUCUUCUUAACAAGAUCCUUCGCCUGAGGUGAGAUGGAUGGCCAUGGAUCACUUGAGAAAUCAACAUGGCUCUUUAAGAUGGCGUUGAAUAUCCCAUUCUCCGAUUCUAUAAUCAUCAGGUAAUAAUCACAACACAUUAAUAUGUUUAAACAAAAUCAUCUCUACAUAUAUUUAUAAUCUCGUUUUCUUUUGUAGACAAAGAAGAACUUUACCAGCCCAGAAGGGAGGGACACCACAUAAGAGGAUAUACAACAUGACACCAAUACUCCAAAUAUCAGCUUCAGGUCCAUACUUCCUCUUCAAAACCUCAGGCGCUAUGUAAUAAGCACUACCCACAAUAUCCUUAAACACCUCUCCGGGCUUGUAGAAAACAGACAACCCAAAGUCAGUGGCCUUGAGAGGAGCCUUCUCGUCUUUGCUGAGCAACAAAAAGUUCUCAGGCUUCAAAUCCCUAUGAAUAACCCCCAUGGAAUGACAAGUAUGCACAAUCUGAACAAUGGUUCUCAACAAGGAAGCAGCAGCUCUCUCCGAGUAAUGUCCCUUAGCAAUAAUCCUGUCGAACAGCUCUCCACCAGCGCAAAGCUCCAUGACCAAAUGCACAGAGUGCUUAUCCUCAUAAGCUCCUUUAAGCUCCACAAUGUUAGGCUGACCAGUCAGGUGAUGCAUUAUCUGCACUUCCCUUCUUACGUCCUCAAUGUCUUCUUUGUUCACAAGCUUCCUUUUGGCAAUGGUCUUGCAAGCGAACUGCUGACCUGUCGCCUUCUGCGUGCAGAGAUGCGUGACGCCGAACUGGCCUCGGCCUAGCUCUUUGCCUAGAGAGUAUGAGGAUUUUACAUCUUCCAUGGGACGGCCUAAGACGGGUCCUAUGGGGCCUUGUUUUGUUGCGGGAGGAGGAGAAGGUUUGACAUAUGGCAGCUUGAGGGAGAAGCCACUUCCCGGGCUAUUCGUUUGGCUCGUUUUGUUAACACGCCUCUCUAUGUUGUUCAUGUGAUGAGUGUUGACGCAAUGGAUGAGAUUGCUAAAGCUCGAAAAGCAGGUUCUCUUUUCCUUUUUUCUUUUUCUCUGCUCCUUGUAUGGAACAACCAUUAGUGUAACAUAUAGGUUGAUUUCUAGAGUCCUUGUCAAAAGAUAAAGAGUUACCUUUUUUCUAUAAAUGUAUUUCAGGGCAGAAGGUUAUUGGAGAGCCUGUGGUGUCCGGAUUAAUCCUCGAUGACCACUGGCUUUGGGAUCCUGACUUCACAAUUGCAUCCAAGUAAGAAAAUUCUCUCAGCUCUGCUGUUCAAAGAGGUUCCCAUGUAUUCUUUCAGGUUUUGAAGUUUUUUUUUCUCUCAAUAUUUGAGGUAUGUUAUGAGUCCACCAAUUAGACCAGUAGGCCAUGGAAAAGCCCUUCAAGAUGCCCUAUCAACAGGAAUCCUUCAGGUUUGUUUCCUUGAUAUGCGUUAAGUAGAGAAACAUGAGCUAUAGGAACUGAUCACUGCACUUUCUUGGCAUUAUCUCUGCAGCUUGUAGGAACUGAUCACUGCACAUUCAAUUCUACACAAAAAGCUCUGGGACUUGAUGAUUUCCGCAAAAUACCUAAUGGUGUUAAUGGUAUAAUCUUGUUCUCUGCGCUCAUUUGUCUCUGCUUCUGUGCUAAUCUAUUCGGAUUUAUAAAAAUACUUUGGACUUGUCCAUGUUUAGGCCUUGAAGAACGGAUGCACCUGACAUGGGACACGAUGGUGGUAAGUACUCACUCAUCAGCUAAAAUCUUCUUUCUUUACAUGUGUUUUUAAUCGGUUUAUUAUAUCAUAAUCCAGGGGUCUGGCCAAAUCUCUGCUACUGAUUUUGUUAGAAUAACCAGCACAGAGUGGUACGUUUGCCAUUAAUCACUGGUUUUCUUGAUAUCGAUGAUAUGCUUUUUGAUUUCAUUUUAUUGACUAAUGAGUUUGAUUAUCAGCGCUAAAAUUUUCAACAUAUAUCCACGGAAAGGAGCUAUCCUUCCUGGCUCGGAUGCAGACAUCAUUAUACUGAAUCCAAACUCAAGCUACGAGAUUACCUCAAAGUCUCAUCAUUCAAGAUCCGACACUAAUGUCUAUGAAGGCAGAAGAGGACAGGUAAUAUAUGGAUUUUGCAAAGCCUCCUCUUGACUGAUAUGUACAAAACAAAAGUUUCUGAUGAUGACAACAUUUUUGUUCUCAGGGAAAAGUUGAAGUGACAAUAGCGGGAGGACGAAUCGUAUGGGAAAACGAUGAGCUUAAAGUUGUUCCAGGAAGUGGAAAGUAUGUAGAGAUGCCUCCUUUCAGCUACCUUUUCGAUGGGAUUGAGAAAUCUGAUGCUAACUAUCUCUCUUCUCUCCGAGCUCCGGUGAAACGUGUCAGGUCUGAAGCUACUACUUAAGUUGCAAGUAUCACCAUCUGCAAAUUCCUCAUUUGAUUCUAUAU
Molecule: long non-coding RNA, 5307 nt
Filed under: Brassica napus (rape)
Lineage: Eukaryota; Viridiplantae; Streptophyta; Magnoliopsida; Brassicales; Brassicaceae
Description: long non-coding RNA (BNAP_LNC023730)
Source: RNAcentral